This 439-nucleotide ribosomal RNA is filed under the name Escherichia coli. Its description in RNAcentral is "bacterial SSU rRNA". It matches the Rfam family "Bacterial small subunit ribosomal RNA", at positions 662 to 1100 of the family's 1533-position model. The record is from RNAcentral. Lineage: Bacteria; Pseudomonadati; Pseudomonadota; Gammaproteobacteria; Enterobacterales; Enterobacteriaceae.
UAGAAUUCCAGGUGUAGCGGUGAAAUGCGUAGAGAUCUGGAGGAAUACCGGUGGCGAAGGCGGCCCCCUGGACGAAGACUGACGCUCAGGUGCGAAAGCGUGGGGAGCAAACAGGAUUAGAUACCCUGGUAGUCCACGCCGUAAACGAUGUCGACUUGGAGGUUGUGCCCUUGAGGCGUGGCUUCCGGAGCUAACGCGUUAAGUCGACCGCCUGGGGAGUACGGCCGCAAGGUUAAAACUCAAAUGAAUUGACGGGGGCCCGCACAAGCGGUGGAGCAUGUGGUUUAAUUCGAUGCAACGCGAAGAACCUUACCUGGUCUUGACAUCCACGGAAGUUUUCAGAGAUGAGAAUGUGCCUUCGGGAACCGUGAGACAGGUGCUGCAUGGCUGUCGUCAGCUCGUGUUGUGAAAUGUUGGGUUAAGUCCCGCAACGAGCGCA